RNAcentral lists this ribosomal RNA (598 nucleotides) under uncultured Comamonas sp. Its description in RNAcentral is "bacterial SSU rRNA". It matches the Rfam family "Bacterial small subunit ribosomal RNA", at positions 917 to 1519 of the family's 1533-position model. Lineage: Bacteria; Pseudomonadati; Pseudomonadota; Betaproteobacteria; Burkholderiales; Comamonadaceae. The record is from RNAcentral.
GGACCCGCACAAGCGGUGGAUGAUGUGGUUUAAUUCGAUGCAACGCGAAAAACCUUACCUACCCUUGACAUGCCAGGAAUCCUGCAGAGAUGUGGGAGUGCUCGAAAGAGAACCUGGACACAGGUGCUGCAUGGCCGUCGUCAGCUCGUGUCGUGAGAUGUUGGGUUAAGUCCCGCAACGAGCGCAACCCUUGUCAUUAGUUGCUACGAAAGGGCACUCUAAUGAGACUGCCGGUGACAAACCGGAGGAAGGUGGGGAUGACGUCAGGUCCUCAUGGCCCUUAUGGGUAGGGCUACACACGUCAUACAAUGGCUGGUACAGAGGGUUGCCAACCCGCGAGGGGGAGCUAAUCCCAGAAAACCAGUCGUAGUCCGGAUCGCAGUCUGCAACUCGACUGCGUGAAGUCGGAAUCGCUAGUAAUCGCGGAUCAGCUUGCCGCGGUGAAUACGUUCCCGGGUCUUGUACACACCGCCCGUCACACCAUGGGAGCGGGUUCUGCCAGAAGUAGUUAGCCUAACCGCAAGGAGGGCGAUUACCACGGCAGGGUUCGUGACUGGGGUGAAGUCGUAACAAGGUAGCCGUAUCGGAAGGUGCGGCU